GGCCGCCUGGCGAAAUGGUAUCGCGUCUGACUACGAUGGAAGAGCUAACAAUGUUAUCAGGAGAUUACAGGUUCGACUCCUGCGGUGGUCA
Termitomyces sp. J132 is the source of this 91-nucleotide transfer RNA. It matches the Rfam family "tRNA". From Rfam's summary of the family: Transfer RNA (tRNA) molecules are approximately 80 nucleotides in length. Their secondary structure includes four short double-helical elements and three loops (D, anti-codon, and T loops). The record is from Rfam. NCBI's taxonomy places the organism in Eukaryota, Fungi, Basidiomycota, Agaricomycetes, Agaricales, Lyophyllaceae.